RNAcentral lists this ribosomal RNA (400 nucleotides) under uncultured bacterium. RNAcentral's name for it is "bacterial SSU rRNA". It matches the Rfam family "Bacterial small subunit ribosomal RNA", at positions 30 to 429 of the family's 1533-position model. The record is from RNAcentral.
AUUGAACGCUGGCGGCAUGCUUUACACAUGCAAGUCGAACGGUAACGGGGACUUCGGUCUGCCGACGAGUGGCGAACGGGUGAGUAAUAUAUCGGAACGUGCCCAGUAAUGGGGGAUAGCUCGGCGAAAGCCGGAUUAAUACCGCAUACGCCCGUGAGGGGGAAAGUGGGGGAUCUUCGGACCUCACGUUAUUGGAGCGGCCGAUAUCAGAUUAGCUAGUUGGUGGGGUAAAGGCCUACCAAGGCGACGAUCUGUAGCUGGUCUGAGAGGAUGAUCAGCCACACUGGGACUGAGACACGGCCCAGACUCCUACGGGAGGCGAGUCAGUGGGGAAUUUUGGACAAUGGGCGAAAGCCUGAUCCAGCCAUGCCGCGUGAGUGAAGAAGGCCUCGGUUGUAAG